RNAcentral lists this ribosomal RNA (497 nucleotides) under uncultured bacterium. Its description in RNAcentral is "partial 16S ribosomal RNA". It matches the Rfam family "Bacterial small subunit ribosomal RNA", at positions 28 to 523 of the family's 1533-position model. The record is from RNAcentral.
GAUGAACGCUGGCGGCGUGCCUAACACAUGCAAGUCGAGCGCGAUUUUGUGGAGUAGAGACUUCGGUUGAAGCAAAGCAAAUGAAAGCGGCGGACGGGUGAGUAACGCGUGAGCAACCUGCCCUUGACACAGGGAUAGCCACUGGAAACGGUGAUUAAUACCAGAUGAGACUACUACUUCGCAUGAAGAAGGGGUCAAAGUGAUAGCGGUCAAGGAUGGGCUCGCGUCUGAUUAGCUAGUUGGUGCGGUAACGGCUCACCAAGGCGACGAUCAGUAGCGGACCUGAGAGGGUGAACGGCCACACUGGAACUGAGACACGGUCCAGGCUCCUACGGGAGGCAGCAGUAAAGAAACUUUCACAAUGGGGGAAACCCUGGCGAAGCAACACCGCGUGGGCGAUGAAGGUCGAAAGAUCGUAAAGCCCUUUUCUGGGGGAAUAAUUUUGAAGGUACCCCAGGAAUAAGCACCGGCUAACUCUGUGCCAGCCGCCGCUGUAA